This 61-nucleotide transfer RNA is filed under the name Haemaphysalis mageshimaensis. RNAcentral's name for it is "tRNA-Leu". Lineage: Eukaryota; Metazoa; Arthropoda; Arachnida; Ixodida; Ixodidae. The record is from RNAcentral.
UUAAAGUGACAGAUAAAAUGUGAGGAAUUUAAGCUUCCUUUAUGAUUAAAUUCCUUUAAUA